CUGGAAUGAUGAAAGUUAGCCAAAUCGUAUAAUGAUGUGCUCCUCCAGGUGUCAUUUCUGUCUGUGCCCUUGGUGAAAUUUAUUCUUUCCCAAGCACAAGAUGAGAUGACUGGACUGGAGUUGAAGUUUGCAUCAGUAUGUGAUGAUAAAAACUGAGAAUGGUAACUUACUGACCAGA
RNAcentral lists this small nucleolar RNA (178 nucleotides) under Dichanthelium oligosanthes. RNAcentral's name for it is "small nucleolar RNA snoR127". It matches the Rfam family "small nucleolar RNA snoR127". Lineage: Eukaryota; Viridiplantae; Streptophyta; Magnoliopsida; Poales; Poaceae. The record is from Rfam by way of RNAcentral.